This is a non-coding RNA of Armillaria mellea, 91 nucleotides long. The record is from the annotation of a GenBank genome assembly. NCBI's taxonomy places the organism in Eukaryota, Fungi, Basidiomycota, Agaricomycetes, Agaricales, Physalacriaceae.
AUGCCGAUGGUGAAACGGUUAUCAUGCUUGCCUUCCAUACAGAAGUGUGGAUUUCGAGCAAGCGGUAGGGGUUCGACUCCCCUUCGGUGUA